RNAcentral lists this long non-coding RNA (503 nucleotides) under Pongo abelii (Sumatran orangutan). RNAcentral's name for it is "lincRNA". Lineage: Eukaryota; Metazoa; Chordata; Mammalia; Primates; Hominidae. The record is from RNAcentral.
UGGCAAAAAGAGUCCUGUCCCAGCACUGCCUGGGUAAGAUAAAGGCUCGUCAUCUGUGCAUGCGUUUAUCCGAGUGGAACGUGAGUCCUGGGGGCUGCUGCCACCGCGCCGGUCCCUCCUGUAAUCCAAGCCCGUGUCAGAGGACGCGGCGCCUGCAAGGCAAAAGGGUUGCAGCAGGUGUGGCCAGAUCCUCUAGACAAGAGGUGUGGAUUCAGAUCCUACCAGUCUUACUCCUGAUGAAGUUAGGCAAAUCAGUUGGCUCUGGAGUAAUUAGUAGCCGCUUCCUCAUUGACCAUUGCAAGGAAAUACCAGUGAACUUGAGUUUCUCCAGUGAAGGUGAUCACAGUGAUGAAUGACUUGGCUUCUGCACAGCAAAAGACAUGAUCACCAGAGCGAACAGACAACCUACAGAAUGGGAGAGCAUUUGUGCAAUCUAUCCGUCUGACAAAAGUCUAAAAUCCAAAGUUUACAAAUAACUUAAACAAAUUUACAAGAAAAAAACA